RNAcentral lists this unclassified non-coding RNA (313 nucleotides) under Gymnopilus junonius. RNAcentral's name for it is "partial internal transcribed spacer region". The stretch from base 1 to 46 matches the Rfam family "Eukaryotic small subunit ribosomal RNA", at positions 1786 to 1831 of the family's 1831-position model. Lineage: Eukaryota; Fungi; Basidiomycota; Agaricomycetes; Agaricales; Galerinaceae. The record is from RNAcentral.
AAGUCGUAACAAGGUUUCCGUAGGUGAACCUGCGGAAGGAUCAUUAUUGAAUAAACUUGAUGUGGUUGUAGCUGGCCCUCGCAAGGGAGUAUGUGCUCGCCCGUCACCUUUAUCUUUCCACCUGUGCAUUCUUUGUAGAUUUGAAUUGUAGUUUUCCGAGGCAACUCGGUUGGGAGGAAUGUCAUUCGUGGCUUUCCUUGUUAAUACGUUCAAGUCUAUGUUUUCAUAUACUCCAAAAAUGUAACAGAAUGUAUCAAUGGGCCUUGUGCCUAUAAACUUUAUACAACUUUCAGCAACGGAUCUCUUGGCUCUC